Molecule: ribosomal RNA, 280 nt
Filed under: Lysobacter antibioticus
Lineage: Bacteria; Pseudomonadati; Pseudomonadota; Gammaproteobacteria; Lysobacterales; Lysobacteraceae
Description: partial 16S ribosomal RNA
Rfam family: Bacterial small subunit ribosomal RNA
Source: RNAcentral
GUAAGCGUGCGUAGGUGGUUUGUUAAGUCUGAUGUGAAAGACCUGGGCUCAACCUGGGAAUGGCAUUGGAAACUGGCUUACUAGAGUGCGGUAGAGGGUAGUGGAAUUCCCGGUGUAGCAGUGAAAUGCGUAGAUAUCGGGAGGAACAUCUGUGGCGAAGGCGACUACCUGGACCAGCACUGACACUGAGGCACGAAAGCGUGGGGAGCAAACAGGAUUAUAUACCCUGGUAGUCCACGCCCUAAACGAUGCGAACUGGAUGUUGGGAGCAACUUGGCUC